GCUCCGCAACGGGAGAGGCCACAGCAGUGAGAGGCCCGCGUACCGCAAAAAACAAACAAAACAAAACAAAAAACAAUAAAAAACCUGCCUUAAGCUAUGCUCUCCUGUAUAAUCCAUUUGUUAUUGAAUUAUAUUUCUUCUCUUCUCUGACUUAAGUAGCUUAUUAUAACUAGUUAUUUCAAAUCAUAAAAUAUUUUGUGUUUUUAUAUCGUAUUAACUUUAAACAGAUAUAUAUUAACUUCUGUCUUUUCUCAUUUUCUUGCAGUGAUUCCCUUUCUCCAUAACUGAAAAUAAAAAGCAAGUUACCAUCUUCAAUUUAGGUCUCCAAAUCUUGAUUAAUAUUGCAAGCAAUUAUUGGGACAGUCAUCUAAGUCAUAUACUAAUGCAAACAUGAGAACCUCUUUUUUUGUUAUAUAAUCAGAAUAACCUAUAAAUAAGUUCUGCUCUCUAUAUGGAAAUUAAAUUUACCUUCCUAAAUAAAAUGUACUUCUAUCUGGGAUUUUUCCCAGUGAAUAUAACAAAAGCCCUGUAAGUAGAAUUGGAAAAAACAUUUAAAUAUAUGUGUACUGGGACAUGAACUGAUGUCUUAUGAGAUUAGGUAACUAGUCCAUGGUCAAGUAACAAAGCACAAUUCACAUCCAACCUUUUAGCUCUAGAUGCUACCAAUACUGUGUAGUAUAUUUUCUGUCUCCCUCUCUUCCUCCUUCUUCAUGCCUUUCUUAUAUUUUUUCUUUCCUUCUUGUCUCCUCUAUCUCCUUUUAAAAAACAUUCAUUGGCUACUGUGGAGAUUUUUAAAGUAACAACAAAUUAAAAGAAUAUAAAGAGGCUCAUAUAUCUCUACAUAUGUAUCUCUAUAUACCACAACACAUCGUCAUUAAUAUUAGAAUGUCAAUUAGUUCUUCACACUAUCUCCAUCUGUGAGAUCAGAGGCAUAGAGAUAAUAGUAGAGGUUCUAUAAUGGGGAUGAGAUGGCAGUAAGAAAAGUGGGGGUAAGUAAACAAAUAAACAUUUCGUCCACUUUACAUUUUUCCUCGGCUUCCCAAGCACAUGCAUUCUGUUGCUGCAUGAAGAUUAUUUUACCACCAAACUGCAUUUGCAAAAAUACUUUUGAAAGGGUUAAAUACAGCCCUUUGCCAGUGAGUGAUUCCUGGGAAUUUUAAUAAGCCUGAGUUCCUGCAAUUCAGCAGAUAACAGUCACCAGGAUUGCUGUGCAUACAGAACUGCAUAGUGUCAUGUUUUCACGGCUGCACAGUUCUAGUAGAAAUUGCUCCUGGAAUGACCCAGCCUCAUAUGCGACAGAUCCAUGGGAUGUUGAAGGAGCCACUACAAUGCUGAGAUUCUUGCUGAACCCGUAACUUUCAGCUGAUUGUGAAACCAACUGAACUGGAAGGAUGACAGUCUGACUGAAGACUUGUCAGUCUCCAUCAAAUGGUUACCUGGGAUGACAAGUGUCCCUCUGAGAUGGAAGUUGUAUGUCCUCCAGCAUGCCAGAACUAUCGCUCCAUUUAGAGUCCCUGUGUGUGUAGGUAGUAGAAGAAUCACUUCAUCAUGCACACAGUGCAGAGUCACAAAUAAGGUCAUUUUGGUGCACAGCGUUCCAACGUCCAGAGUGAUUAACUCCACAUGCCAUGGCUGAGCGCUGGGACUGUGUUCAAGUGAGGAAAGAAAAUUUUGACAGAAGAAAUGGUGACAUGAUGAAUAUACAUGCAUGAAAAUUGGCUUAUUCAGCAUCCCUUGUAUAACAGUUGAGAAACAGACUAUUUGAAUUUUCCAGCAUUGUGAUUUUUGCCAACUGAGUACAGCGGAAGGAUGAAGAUUCAACAAAGAACACUGUCAAGGGAGUGACUGAAGUGGUGGAGAGUAAAAUCUAGGCUUCUAAGGCAAGGAAAAGUAAAUAGUGGAGAUUUAGAGACCCUUUUAAUAAACAGCUGUAUUUGAGGAAAAUCAUGUUAUAGAAAUUAAAGGAAAGAAGGCUGUGAUCAGAGAAGAAUACUUGAGUUUGGGAUUUUUGAGUUAAUGAAUCCUGAACAUUUUACUUAAAAUAGAGUUUGGUGAUUGAAUGCUGCCGUAUGUACAAAUGGUUAUUGUACAAUGCAAAAUAAAAUCUCAUACUGG
Molecule: long non-coding RNA, 2115 nt
Organism: Globicephala melas (long-finned pilot whale)
Lineage: Eukaryota; Metazoa; Chordata; Mammalia; Artiodactyla; Delphinidae
Source: RefSeq, a predicted model, not a curated record